Molecule: ribosomal RNA, 1274 nt
Filed under: Alteromonas sp.
Lineage: Bacteria; Pseudomonadati; Pseudomonadota; Gammaproteobacteria; Alteromonadales; Alteromonadaceae
Description: bacterial SSU rRNA
Rfam family: Bacterial small subunit ribosomal RNA
Source: RNAcentral
GGACUGCAGUCGAACGGUAACAGGAGCUUGCAUUCGCUGACGAGUGGCGGACGGGUGAGUAAUGCUUGGGAACUUGCCUUUGCGAGGGGGAUAACAGUUGGAAACGACUGCUAAUACCGCAUAAUGUCUACGGACCAAACGGGGCUUAGGCUCCGGCGCAAAGAGAGGCCCAAGUGAGAUUAGCUAGUUGGUAAGGUAAAGGCUUACCAAGGCAACGAUCUCUAGCUGUUCUGAGAGGAAGAUCAGCCACACUGGAACUGAGACACGGUCCAGACUCCUACGGGAGGCAGCAGUGGGGAAUAUUGCACAAUGGGGGAAACCCUGAUGCAGCCAUGCCGCGUGUGUGAAGAAGGCCUUCGGGUUGUAAAGCACUUUCAGUUGUGAGGAAAAGUUAGUAGUUAAUACCUGCUAGCCGUGACGUUAACAACAGAAGAAGCACCGGCUAACUCCGUGCCAGCAGCCGCGGUAAUACGGAGGGUGCGAGCGUUAAUCGGAAUUACUGGGCGUAAAGCGCACGCAGGCGGUUUGUUAAGCUAGAUGUGAAAGCCCCGGGCUCAACCUGGGAUGGUCAUUUAGAACUGGCAGACUAGAGUCUUGGAGAGGGGAGUGGAAUUCCAGGUGUAGCGGUGAAAUGCGUAGAUAUCUGGAGGAACAUCAGUGGCGAAGGCGACUCCCUGGCCAAAGACUGACGCUCAUGUGCGAAAGUGUGGGUAGCGAACAGGAUUAGAUACCCUGGUAGUCCACACCGUAAACGCUGUCUACUAGCUGUUUGUGACUUUAAGUCGUGAGUAGCGAAGCUAACGCGCUAAGUAGACCGCCUGGGGAGUACGGCCGCAAGGUUAAAACUCAAAUGAAUUGACGGGGGCCCGCACAAGCGGUGGAGCAUGUGGUUUAAUUCGAUGCAACGCGAAGAACCUUACCUACACUUGACAUGCUGAGAACUUUCUAGAGAUGGAUUGGUGCCUUCGGGAACUCUGACACAGGUGCUGCAUGGCUGUCGUCAGCUCGUGUCGUGAGAUGUUGGGUUAAGUCCCGCAACGAGCGCAACCCUUGUCCUUAGUUGCCAGCAUUAAGUUGGGCACUCUAAGGAGACUGCCGGUGACAAACCGGAGGAAGGUGGGGACGACGUCAAGUCAUCAUGGCCCUUACGUGUAGGGCUACACACGUGCUACAAUGGCAUUUACAGAGGGAAGCGAGACAGUGAUGUGGAGCGGACCCCUUAAAGAAUGUCGUAGUCCGGAUUGGAGUCUGCAACUCGACUCCAGAAGUUCGCU